Molecule: ribosomal RNA, 491 nt
Filed under: Scopula ornata
Lineage: Eukaryota; Metazoa; Arthropoda; Insecta; Lepidoptera; Geometridae
Description: eukaryotic LSU rRNA
Source: RNAcentral
GGGAUUCAAGAGUACGUGAAACCGCUCAGGGGUAAACCUGCGAAACUCGAAUGAACGAACGGGGAGAUUCAUCGUCUCUUCCGGGCGUACGGGCGUCGCGUCGAUGGUGUCGCCUUCGGGCGUCCGCCACGGCCGACGUCCGUCCACGUCCCGGGACGGCGUGCACUUCUCCCUUAGUAAUACAUCGCGACCCGUUCGAUGUCGGUCUAAGCGCCGUCCGGGAGUCUCUCGGUCCGUCUUCGGACGCGGCCGGGUUGACCGGAUCCGGUUGCCGACCGGCCGUCGGACGGUAUAACAACGAAACGUGCACGCGCUCGCGCGCGUCCGGCCCGACGCAAGGCUACGCUUCGUCUCCCUCCUUCUGCCCGAGUGCGAGGGAGGGGGCGGCAGCUCCUGUCCGUCGCCGCCGUGCAGUCUCGGACUGUGCGCGUCUCCGUCUGCGAUGAUUCAGUUUCGGGCACUCGCAGGACCCGUCUUGAAACACGGCCCAA